GCCCAUUAUCACACUAAACAUUCUGAAUCCCUAGGUGGUUAAGCUUUGACUCCAUAGCAUAGCAGCUCCCCUGAUCGUCGGAUCGUGGUACCAAGCUUCCAAGGAUGAUAUCAAGUAUUCAUCACUAGCAAAACCACCACCAUCUGAAUACGUAAACGCAUCUAGGUGGUAUACGCACAUCGAUGCUCUUCUGAGAAUCCCGCCACAGUUGUAGAGGAUGACGAUGAUGUAGACCUAUUUAGUGAGGAAACUGAAGAGGAAAAAAUAGUUGCUGAAGAGCGUGCUGCAGCUUUGAAGGCUUCUGGAAAGAAUAAAGAAUUCCUCAGUUCUUUUGGAUGUAAAGCCAUGGGAUGAUGAGACUGAUAUGAAGAAGCUUGAAGAACUGUUCAGAUGGAAGGAUUGUUUUGGGGAGCAUGAAAUUAUUACUGCAUGGAGGCGAUUGAGAUGAGCGAUGAAUCAUCUUGAAGUUUCAAGUUCUUUUUCUCCUCUCUGUGGGUUUCCUAUUUUGUUUUUCUAAGAAAGUUAGAUCUGGUACAGUCCAUCUGUUUUGUUCCUUUGGAUGGAUUUUAUGAAGAGUUGGGUAGUUUCCUUGAAAGGGUUGGAAUUUUGCACUUGAUGAAUGCAAAUACGAUAUCCAAGUUAUUUCUGUAGAUAUCUGCAUAGCUGCAACACUACAAUGUUUCCCACCAGUACAUUUUGCAACAUUGACGCAUGAGUUGAAACUUAAAAUCUCCUAUCUAAAUUUUUACUGAAUCAUGUCA
Long non-coding RNA from Nicotiana tabacum (common tobacco), 761 nucleotides. RefSeq lists it as uncharacterized. Lineage: Eukaryota; Viridiplantae; Streptophyta; Magnoliopsida; Solanales; Solanaceae. The record is from RefSeq and is a predicted model, not a curated record.